This 466-nucleotide ribosomal RNA is filed under the name uncultured bacterium. Its description in RNAcentral is "bacterial SSU rRNA". It matches the Rfam family "Bacterial small subunit ribosomal RNA", at positions 30 to 491 of the family's 1533-position model. The record is from RNAcentral.
AUUGAACGCUGGCGGCAUGCCUUACACAUGCAAGUCGAACGGCAGCACGGGAGCAAUCCUGGUGGCGAGUGGCGAACGGGUGAGUAAUAUAUCGGAACGUGCCCAGUCGUGGGGAUAACGUAGCGAAAGCUACGCUAAUACCGCAUACGAUCUACGGAUGAAAGCGGGGGAUCGCAAGACCUCGCGCGAUUGGAGCGGCCGAUAUCAGAUUAGGUAGUUGGUGAGGUAAAGGCUCACCAAGCCGACGAUCUGUAGCUGGUCUGAGAGGACGACCAGCCACACUGGGACUGAGACACGGCCCAGACUCCUACGGGAGGCAGCAGUGGGGAAUUUUGGACAAUGGGCGCAAGCCUGAUCCAGCAAUGCCGCGUGCAGGAUGAAGGCCUCCGGGUUGUAAACUGCUUUGUACGGAACGAAACGGUGAGCUCUAAUACAGUUUGCUAAUGACGGUACCGUAAGAAUAAGC